AGACCGUUCUCUUCAGAGGCCGGUCAUUGGAAUGGGUACAAUUUAAACCCUUUAACGAGUAUCUAUGAGAGGGCAAGUCUGGUGCCAGCAGCCGCGGUAAUUCCAGCUCUCAAAAUGCAUAGAAUCAUUGCUGCGGUUAAAAAGCUCGUAGUUGGAUCUGUGCUGGCGGGUCGGUCCACCUUCGGGUGCGCACUGAUUUCGCCGGCUUUCCUGCUGUAUUUGGCCCUGUGCCUUUCAACGGGUGCAGUGUCCAGUGCAGCAAGUUUACCUUGAACAAAUCAGAGUGCUUCAAACAGGCGUUUCGCUUGAAUGUUCGUGCAUGGAAUAAUAGAAGAGGAUUUCGGUUCUAUUUUAUUGGUUUUAUAGACUGAGAUAAUGGUUAACAGAGACUAACGGGGGCAUUAGUAUUGCUACGUGAGAGGUGAAAUUCUUGGACCGUAGCAAGACUGACUACAGCGAAAGCAUUUGCCAAGAAAGUCUUCAUUAAUCAAGAACGAAAGUCAGAGGUUCGAAGGCGAUCAGAUACCGCCCUAGUUCUGACCGUAAACGAUGCCGACUAGUGAUCCGCCGGUGGAACAUUCGCCCUGGUGGGGAACUUCCCGGAAACGAAAGUCUUCCGGUUCCGGGGGAAGUAUGGUUGCAAAGCUGAAACUUAAAGGAAUUGAUGGAAGGGCACCGCCAGGAGUGGAGCCUGCGGCUUAAUUUGACCCAACACGGGAAAACUCACCCGGCCCGGACACCGUAAGGAUUGACAGAUUGAUAGCUCUUUCAUGAUUCGGUGGAUGGUGGUGCAUGGCCGUUCUUAGUUCGUGGAGCGAUUUGUCUGGUUUAUUCCGAUAACGAGCGAGACUCUGGCCUACUAAAUAGUUUACACAUUGCUUCUGUGUGCAUAACUUCUUAGAGGGAUUUUCGGUGUUCAGCCGCAAGAAAUUGAGCAAUAACAGGUCUGUGAUGCCCUUAGAUGUCCGGGGCUGCACGCGCGCUACACUGGCAAAAUCAGCGUGCUUGUCCUUCCCCGAAAGGGGUUGGUAAACUCGUGAAAAUUUGCCGUGAUUGGGAUCGGAAAUUGCAAUUAUUUUCCGUGAACGAGGAAUUCCAAGUAAGUGCGAGUCAUCAACUCGCGUUGAUUACGUCCCUGCCCUUUGUACACACCGCCCGUCGCUGCCCGGGACUGAGCCGUUUCGAGAAACUUGGAGACCGCUGAUCUGGUAACUUCGAUUGCCAUUUUGGUGGGAACCAAUUUAA
Molecule: ribosomal RNA, 1245 nt
Filed under: metagenome
Description: SSU rRNA
Rfam family: Eukaryotic small subunit ribosomal RNA
Source: RNAcentral